Molecule: ribosomal RNA, 468 nt
Filed under: uncultured bacterium
Lineage: Bacteria
Description: partial 16S ribosomal RNA
Rfam family: Bacterial small subunit ribosomal RNA
Source: RNAcentral
GACGAACGCUGGCGGCGUGCUUAACACAUGCAAGUCGAACGGAAAGGCCCUGCUUUUGUGGGGUGCUCGAGUGGCGAAAGGGUGAGUAACACGUGAGUAACCUGCCCUUGACUUUGGGAUAACGUCAGGAAACUGGGGCUAAUACCGGAUAGGAGCUCCUGCUGCAUGGUGGGGGUUGGAAAGUUUCGGCGGUUGGGGAUGGACUCGCGGCUUAUCAGCUUGUUGGUGGGGUAGUGGCUUACCAAGGCUUUGACGGGUAGCCGGCCUGAGAGGGUGACCGGCCACAUUGGGACUGAGAUACGGCCCAGACUCCUACGGGAGGCAGCAGUGGGGAAUAUUGCACAAUGGGCGGAAGCCUGAUGCAGCAACGCCGCGUGCGGGAUGACGGCCUUCGGGUUGUAAACCGCUUUCGCCUGUGACGAAGCGUGAGUGACGGUAAUGGGUAAAGAAGCACCGGCUAACUACGUG